GCUUGGGAAAGCAAUGGCAUCAGUUGUACAAAUAAGAAAACUCAGCCAGGUGACUCCCCUAACCCGGCACAGAUAUCUCCAAGGCCAACAACUUUUUCAAUUAUGACCCACAUCAUCAGACCCCUGGGACAUCACAAUCUUAUACCAUGGAAAUGGCUCAUUUAACAAGUCAAUUGCCUGCAGCUUUCUUGGUCCAACAACUGUUACAGAACCUCCCCACUUGCUGCAUCUUGGAACUGGCCAUGCCACGUGAUUGCACACUCAUGUUAAACUAGACACAACAUGCACUACAUCUACAGCCCACACAGCACAAAGAUGUCUGGACGUGACAUAGACGGUCGUUCCUUUUGCUUCCAGUGAUAAACAGUUCAGUUGUAAAAAAAAGAUUUAAGAAAUUUAACAGAAAACAGUGAAUAAAUGUUUUA
This is a long non-coding RNA of Suricata suricatta (meerkat), 425 nucleotides long. RefSeq lists it as uncharacterized. The transcript has 3 exons. NCBI's taxonomy places the organism in Eukaryota, Metazoa, Chordata, Mammalia, Carnivora, Herpestidae. The record is from RefSeq and is a predicted model, not a curated record.